This 324-nucleotide ribosomal RNA is filed under the name uncultured eukaryote. Its description in RNAcentral is "partial 18S ribosomal RNA". It matches the Rfam family "Eukaryotic small subunit ribosomal RNA", at positions 1470 to 1796 of the family's 1831-position model. The record is from RNAcentral.
CCCUUAGAUGUUCUGGGCCGCACGCGCGCUACACUGAUGCAUUCAACGAGUUUCUUCCUGGUCCGAGAGGAAUGGGUAACCUUUUGAAAGUGCAUCGUGAUAGGGAUAGACUAUUGCAAUUAUUGGUCUUCAACGAGGAAUUCCUAGUAGACGUAGUUCAUCAGACUGCAUCGAUUACGUCCCUGCCCUUUGUACACACCGCCCGUCGCUCCUACCGAUUGAAUGCUCAGGUGAGCCAUCCGGACUUUCACCAUGCUGGUUUCCAGUUUUGAUGAAGGAAAGUCUUGCGAACCUUAUCAUUUAGAGGAAGGAGAAGUCGUAACA